GAUGAACGCUGGCGGCGUGCCUAAUACAUGCAAGUCGAGCGAACAGACGAGGAGCUUGCUCCUCUGACGUUAGCGGCGGACGGGUGAGUAACACGUGGAUAACCUACCUAUAAGACUGGGAUAACUUCGGGAAACCGGAGCUAAUACCGGAUAAUAUAUUGAACCGCAUGGUUCAAUAGUGAACGACGGUUUUGCUGUCACUUAUAGAUGGAUCCGCGCCGCAUUAGCUAGUUGGUAAGGUAACGGCUUACCAAGGCGACGAUUCGUAGCCGACCUGAGAGGGUGAUCGGCCACACAUGGACUAGGACACUGUCCAGACUCCUACGGGAGGCAGCAGUAGGGAAUCUGCCGGAAUGGGCGAUAGCCUGACGGAGCAACGUCGCGUGAUUGAUGAAGGUCUUCGGAUCGAAAAACUCUGUUAUUAGGGAAGAACAAAUGUGUAAGUAACUAUGCACGUCUUGACGGUACCUAAUCAGAAAGCCACGGCUAACUACGUG
Molecule: ribosomal RNA, 497 nt
Filed under: uncultured bacterium
Lineage: Bacteria
Description: partial 16S ribosomal RNA
Rfam family: Bacterial small subunit ribosomal RNA
Source: RNAcentral